UUAGACAUCUUUGGUUCCUUCAACAAAGUCAUGUAAGGCCGUUGUGAUGGGGAUUCAUCGUGAUUCUGGUACACACUACUUGUAUGUUGCUUUAUGGAGUUUAGUAACGUCAUACGCAUGCAGAAGUUGAAUAUCACAAUAUUUUUUGGAGAUUUUAAAAGCAUAGUAUAUGAGAGUAAGGUCACAGGGUGUAUUGUAUUUGUUAGAAUAGAAGGUGGCCGUAAUGUCUUGUUUCUAUUUUGUCAUAUCUUUUGUAAGACAUUUUGAAUUUAGUUUAGCACACCUUGUGCUAAAAUAAAAAAAAGUUUAAUGGAUCGAGUAAUACAUUUUGGACUUAGUUUGGCACACCUUGUGCUACAACUGAGUUUUUACUUUUAAUAAUACAUCAAUUGCCUUUAAAAAAAAAAAAAAGGGUACACCUAUGCGCCCACUCAAACUAGAAAAAAAUUCUUUGAA
Molecule: long non-coding RNA, 456 nt
Filed under: Glycine max (soybean)
Lineage: Eukaryota; Viridiplantae; Streptophyta; Magnoliopsida; Fabales; Fabaceae
Description: long non-coding RNA (GMAX_LNC002063)
Source: RNAcentral